Manis pentadactyla (Chinese pangolin) is the source of this 1373-nucleotide long non-coding RNA. RefSeq lists it as uncharacterized. The record is from RefSeq and is a predicted model, not a curated record. NCBI's taxonomy places the organism in Eukaryota, Metazoa, Chordata, Mammalia, Pholidota, Manidae. The transcript has 3 exons.
UACAGUGCAGUUUAAAUUUUCUUUUAACCAGGAAUACUUGUAAACACAAAAAGAAACUUCAAUAUAUCAGGAUGUACCUUUGAAAUCUAAUUCUAUAAGGAAAUAAAAAGAAUCAUCAAAAGUACAGAUUUUGAAAGUAUAACAGUCUUUAAAAUGUCACAUUUGGAGGCUUACUGAAAUGCCUCUGUAUCUUUGUGUUAGUAUAGUGAAUCACAAUCUAGAUCUUUCCCCUGAAACUGUGGACCAUGCUGUCCAAGCAACAUUCGACGUUUGGAGCAAUGAGACCCCCUCAGUUUCAUUAGUUUUCUGGGACACUGCUGAUAUCACACUCUUCUUUGGAGCCAGAGUUUUCCCACAGGUUUUUUCUGAGUUGUUUUCCUUUUGGAACAUGGAGAUUUACUCCCCAUUUGAUGGAUCCUUUGGACAGCUGGCUGCUGCCUUUCCUCUUGUGAGGAAUCCAAAGGCACAGCAAAGUCAGUGAUGGAACAUCAGCGGCUCCAACGUGCACACUUUGGGCGCUAUGCUGUGUCGGGGUUACUUGCUCCAGACCAUUGAGGAAGGGGCCUUACAGGUUUCGCUUUUGUCCAUCUUCCCUAAACAAGCAACAGGGGAGGAAUGUAAUUAAUAAGGUUGAAGAAUCUGUCCAGAUAAUCUCUUAGAAGAACAGAUUUUGUUGACAUUUACCCCAAUCAUCAUCGCUGUGUUUCUUCAUAAAGACAUUGGAAUAGACUUCAACCUGUUCCCUGCUGCUGUACCUGCAUUUGGCCAUGUCUCGGGCCUCCAUCACCCCGUGACCCUGACACUCCGAUGUACCCCCUGGUGUAUAUGCAUCCUAGGAAGAGAAAGAUCCUCUCUGAGGAUGAUGUCAAAGGCAUCUAAGCUCUCUGUGCUUUGUUGAAGUUUGGUUUUCUUCUCAUUCUAGAUGUAUUCAUUUGCUUUGCUAAUCCCCAAUAUGGCUUUUUCCAACAUAUGGUGGAAUUUAGUUACUGCAAGAAGCAAGCAGGAAGAGUGCUCUGAGUUCAAAUAACUGAGGGCAUCACUCCAAGCUGUAGCCCACUCUUAGAUUCUCAUGAUGUCAUGUAGCUCUGAGAAGUGGAAAACCUCUGACAUCCCAUGGACCAGGGUUUCACAGCAGCCUCUCUGGAAAAUGAAGUACUAAGGCACAGAGCGGUAAGGAGUGUUUUCCCCACAAGUUUGUGGAAGUCUGGAUCUGAGGGAGUCAGGCUUACAGGUUGGCCUCCAUUUACUUUUCAUCCAAACUUUUAACCUUAUCUCAAAGGCCGUAUUCUGUAAUAAUUAAAUCAUCUGUACCUUUAGUUUAAGAUUCUCCAAAUCUUUCUCCCAUCUUAGAAGAAAGGUUCGUAGCUGUAUGU